UACGGGGGGGGCAAGCGUUGUUCGGAAUUACUGGACGUAAAGGGCUCGUAGGCGGCCAACUAAGUCGGAUGUGAAAUCCCCAGGCUUAACCUGGGAACUGCAUCCGAUACUGGAUGGCUUGAAUCCGGGAGAGGGAUGCAGAAUUCCAGGUGUAGCGGUGAAAUGCGUAGAUAUCUGGAGGAAUACCGGUGGCGAAGGCGGCAUCCUGGACCGGCAUUGACGCUGAGUGAGCGAAAGCCAGGGGAGCAAACGGG
Molecule: ribosomal RNA, 254 nt
Filed under: uncultured bacterium
Lineage: Bacteria
Description: partial 16S ribosomal RNA
Rfam family: Bacterial small subunit ribosomal RNA
Source: RNAcentral